This 807-nucleotide long non-coding RNA is filed under the name Marmota monax (woodchuck). The record is from RNAcentral. Lineage: Eukaryota; Metazoa; Chordata; Mammalia; Rodentia; Sciuridae.
UGCCCACAAAAGAUGCAAAGGGUUCCUUUACCCAACUUUCCUACCUUGUGAAAGACAUUCAUUCAGGACUGCUGGUCGGUAGUUGAAUAAUGGCCAAGUAAAAGCACAUGUCACCUCUUUUCACCACACAGUAUUUUUUUUAAUCUGCCAAUAUUAGUAGGGUUUUUUUAUUGUUUUUAUAAAUACUUUCAAAUACUAAUGAAAGAGAAUGCUCUCUCUGGUGGAUCACUGCCUCAUGACUUAUAUUUUGCCCAGUAGAUGGGUCCCCAUUCUAAAGCAGAUUUAACAUCACUGAUAAAUAAGAUGCUCACUUUUUAGAAAGAAAAUUUACUUCACUGUCAGGCUCAUAUCUCAGAAACUUCAUUUCAGAGUUCCUUUAAGUAUGAAGGUUGCCAUUGUGUAUGUUUUUGUUUACAAAUACCUAUUCUAGAAGCUGGGAAGUCCAGUGAAGAACCACUGCUAUUAGUAUGAAAUAUAGAGCUUUGAAAUUAUCAUGUAAAUCAUCAGAUAGAUUUAAGCUAAUUUAUAGAAAUUUAAUUUGGGACCCCAUCAAUUGUGCUAAGCAAAAGCAAGCUGACCAAAUGAAUCUCAUAUAAUUAAAUGUUGUAAGUAACAGUAUUAGUAGUCACUAAUUUGUGCCCCUGACUUUUGUGAAAGAGAUAACUUACAUUUCAUCAGAGCAUCUCACAUCAUGCAAUUUUUACAUUAACCAGAUAUAUGUUCUUCUGUAUUCAUGGAAUUAAAUUUAGAGUUUUUAAGCAUCAAUCUUUAAACCAAUUGCUGCUACUUAUAUGACAGCCAAAAAGU